This 74-nucleotide transfer RNA is filed under the name bacterium. It matches the Rfam family "tRNA". Rfam says of the family: Transfer RNA (tRNA) molecules are approximately 80 nucleotides in length. Their secondary structure includes four short double-helical elements and three loops (D, anti-codon, and T loops). RNAcentral also lists the same sequence under 2 other names. The record is from Rfam by way of RNAcentral.
GCCGCGUUCGUCUAGAGGCCCAGGACGCUACCCUCUCACGGUAGAGAUCAGGGGUUCGAAUCCCCUACGCGGUA